RNAcentral lists this transfer RNA (62 nucleotides) under Whitmania laevis. RNAcentral describes it as "tRNA-Lys". The record is from RNAcentral. Lineage: Eukaryota; Metazoa; Annelida; Clitellata; Hirudinida; Haemopidae.
GAUUAAAGAGCUUGAUAAAGCGUACAACUUUUAAUUGUGAGAAAUCUUAUAGAUUUUAAUCA